Molecule: non-coding RNA, 216 nt
Organism: Pelobates cultripes (western spadefoot toad)
Lineage: Eukaryota; Metazoa; Chordata; Amphibia; Anura; Pelobatidae
Source: the annotation of a GenBank genome assembly
AUGAACUUCAGGGUGAGAACCACAGUUUGCCAUGUCCAUAUGCACAACAGACUAUGUGGUUGUACAUCCUACAAAUCCUGGAACUGCAUGUAAACAUGAAAUCUAGGAACAUCAUCUAGGAACAAGAUCAAAAUGGAUAGUUACAUAUAUGAAUCCACAAUGCUUAUAGAGAUUAGCUAAAAUGAGACAUUCAUCUCUGAGAACUCAUUGUAGCUA